RNAcentral lists this signal recognition particle RNA (298 nucleotides) under Microcebus murinus (gray mouse lemur). RNAcentral describes it as "Metazoan signal recognition particle RNA (ENSMICG00000035871.2)". It matches the Rfam family "Metazoan signal recognition particle RNA". From Rfam's summary of the family: The signal recognition particle (SRP) is a universally conserved ribonucleoprotein. The record is from RNAcentral. Lineage: Eukaryota; Metazoa; Chordata; Mammalia; Primates; Cheirogaleidae.
GAGGAGAGCAGUCAGGUGCACUGUAGUCCCUCUUACGCAGGAGUCUGAGGCAAGAGGAUUGCUUGAAGCCAGGAGUUCUGGGCCAUAGCAUGCUAUGCUGUUUGGGUUUCUGCACUAAUUUCAGCAUUAAUAUGGUGACUUCCCAGGAACAGGGAACUACCAGAUUGCCUAAGGAGAGGUGAACUAGCCCAGGUGGGAAACAGAGCAGGUCAAAACUCUUGUGCUAACUAGUAGUAGAAUAGCACCUGUGAAUAGUCACUACACUCCAGCCUGGGCAACACAGUGAGUCCCCAUCUCU